RNAcentral lists this long non-coding RNA (3464 nucleotides) under Olea europaea (common olive). RNAcentral's name for it is "long non-coding RNA (OEUR_LNC004720)". The record is from RNAcentral. Lineage: Eukaryota; Viridiplantae; Streptophyta; Magnoliopsida; Lamiales; Oleaceae.
AUCUUUUAGUUCUUGAAUGUGUUCAGGAUCUUCCAAUGUGUCGGGUCGAUUUCCACUUUCCCAUCUCUCUGGACUGACCAAAAGAUAAGAUUUUUGGUCAAUCAUCAUUUGCAGAUCUUCUGCAGCUUUAUGAACCUCCUGAAGCAGGUCUCCAGGGCCGAGUUUUUCCAUUCUUUCUACUUUUUCUCCCAGCAGGCGUAACACUUUAGCUCCUUCAUUCCCUACCCUUUGAAUCUCGUUCUUAAAAACCUGCCUUAAUUCAGAUGAUGCCUGCAAAUGAAACUUUGGCCUGUUUGGUACGUUGAGUAGGAUGAGAUAAUAUAAUAAACAAGGUUUCAGUUUAAAAAUACAUUGAGCAUCUGAAAAUUUAGGCGUCUCUCACCAUAAAGACAAAUAGGAAGACAGACAAAAAUAAAAUUUAAAUGGGGUAACAACAUCCAAAUAAGAAUGAAGAUGGUAUAACUGAAAUGAAUAGAAUGAGCAAAAUUAGUUUUAUUACCCCAAUCUCUGAAAGUAUACUCCCAUGCAUUGCCAUAACCAUGAAUGUACAAUGCCUAAGAGCGCCACUAGCUUUAACAUAUGCACUCCAAGGAUAAUUGAACAUUUUGUAAGGUCCAUGUGGUGGCUCCCAUUCUGCAAAACCAAGCUAGAAAGGAAAAAAGAAAACCUUAACGAUACCAAUUCUUGAAAGGGAAAUUUUUUCAGUCAGAAAAUAAAAUACUUGGAACCAUGUAAGCACAGCAUACCAGAGAAUCCUCUUGGCUUGUAGAUUCCAAUACGGCUCUAUAUCCACUAUAUAAAGGAUCGUCUGAAGCUUGAUAGAGAAGAAUUUUCGACGGUAUCCUAGUAUAUUCAAUAGAUUGUAAAUACAUAUUGACACAACCUAUACAAAGGAUUACAGUUACGAGUCAAGAUCAAAACUAAAAGCCAUCAAGAUAGAAAAAAAAAUAAAAAAUAAAAACUAACCUUCCAGAGAAUUUGCAACUCCCUUAAAAUUUUUCACCACCAAUUUGUGCAAAUCCUCACCGGCCCAUAUUGGGUAAACACAUAUAUUUACAAGUAAACAAACACCAGCUCCAACUGCAAUUAACAGCAAUCUAGAAACGGCCGUUUGAACAAAAUGGGAACUUCCAGAAACCAAUACAAUACAGAAGGUCAACAAGAAAACCCGGAAUCCAUAUUCAUAAGACUUCAUUGGAGGGUACAACUUCAAAUAAGUUGCACAAAAUCCUAAGAAGCAGAAACAUUUAAAGCUCAAUCAAUUGAAAUUUUCAUUAUCAACAAAAAGAAAUGCAUCUAACGGCUUCUUACUGACACUAACACAUCUUAUAGAAUUCUUCAUUAUGGAAAAAACCUGCAAUAAAGAUGCUGAGAACAAUUACAACUUCUUGCAAUUGUCCUACCAACUCUGACAAUUCAGCAAUGCCCAAAGCUAGUGCUCCAGCGGAUAAUGUCCCAAGUGCUCGAUUAAAUCCUUUAUUUAGCGUAGCCCCUACAUAUAUGCACCAACAAAUCCAACAUACAUGUUCAUGGAUCAAAUCGUGCAGAUCAAAUAAAGAAAAAAAAAAAAAACGUAAGUUCAUUACACUUUUCUUACCUAUGCUAAAUUCAAAUACUACAACAACGGUGAGGAUAGCCCAUAUAGAGUAUUGACCAAUAUAAUUCAAUGGUUCUCUGAAGAAAAUGAGAAGUGAAACAAAGGAGAGAGUAAGACCCAUUUUAGCUGCAAACACCACUUUUCUUGGAUCAGACCAACCCAUUUCAUACGCCUUGAGUGCAGCUUGUUGAAACUCACUACAAGAUUUGGCAACUCUGUCACAAAUAGAUAGAAAAAACCUUUGCCAACAACCUUCAUGGCGACCAAAUCCUCUGUUGUCUGAAUAUCCUUUACUGGGUAACAAUGUUUCUUUGCUUCUUUCUGCAAAGCUUUGUGCCAUUUCUUUGAUAACACUUGUUUUCUGAUGUACUUCUCUUAAAAAAAAAUAAACAAAGAGUUAAUUAUUGAAGCGUGUAGAGGUCUGAGUUAUUUGUUCUGAAAGGCCAAUAUUUUAACUUAUCUGGAUGAUUGGAUCUCGACAGUUCGGGGUGGUUGUACUUUUGGAGUGGGGUCAUGGAUCCCUUGUGAUGAAAGGAUUGUGGUGAAUCAUUAUCGUAAAUGAAAUGAAUGGGAGUCGCGUGUCAUGAUUUACCUUUUAUGCACUUCUUGUAUUAAUAAGUUUAAAAGUUAAUUAUUCAUAUUUGACUAGUUUAUUUGAGAAUGAUUAUUAAUACAAAUGUUGCUAUAAAAAAAUAUCUUUGCUGAUAAAAGAUUGAUAAUCACAAACAGAUUGUAUUGCAAGAAAAACAUAUUAAUAAAAAUAAUGCAAAAUCAAAUUUACUUUUAUGACGUCAUUUGCAUAAUGGCACUAUAAAUAAUUAAUUAAACCCAUAUUUCACUUAGAUAAAAAGAGAAUUAAUUUUUUAAUAGAUUUCAAUAAAAAUUGAUGAAUGUAAACUUAUGAAAUGUAUAACUAAAAUUAAUUAUUAUUUUUGACUUUUAUUUUAAUCUAAUUUUUUAAAUAAACCAACAGCAGCUAAGAAAGAGACAAGAAUUUCGAAGAAAAGCUUGUUCACUAAUUACAGGUAUGUAUCAGAAAUUGAAAAUGGGCUGCUAAUUUUCAACUUGCAAAAUACUCAGACCAUGCAAUAAAAGAGCAUGUUCUUAUUCUUGUUUACGUACGAAAGAGAUGCAAUGAACAAGACUUUCUUCACACCACACCUGCACUUGAUACUGCUCAGGCUUGAAGCCUAUUCCUUUCUUCCAUCGUCUUGAUUAAAAGGAUAAAAAAUAGAAACAGGACUAGAGGAAAAUGCAAAUCCACGUGAAAUGAUGAAGUUUACGAGAUUCUGAAGCCUUGCAACAAACUCUAUCAACAAAGAAGUGAAUGUUGCCAGUGAUAAUGCACUUGCACUUUCAUAUGUCAGUAAUUCACGUUCAUUGAGAAUGUUAUCACCUAUCAAUGAGAGUCGUGAAGGCCACAUUGUCUGAUGUUUGAGCACGUUUUCUCCAGAAACACACUGGGGAACGGCGAGAUUACUGCCCAUGUACGGGUCGUGAGGAUCAUAGUCUCUCAAUGUCUGGGUUGAUUUUAGGUUGGGAGUUGAUUCACUUGGAGAAUUUACCACAGAAGGUUGGUGCUCAUUAUCUUUUAGUUCUUGAAUGUGUUCAGGAUCUUCCAAUGUGUCGGGUCGAUUUCCACUUUCCCAUCUCUCUGGACUGACCAAAAGAUAAGAUUUUUGGUCAAUCAUCAUUUGCAGAUCUUCUGCAGCUUUAUGAACCUCCUGAAGCAGGUCUCCAGGGCCGAGUUUUUCCAUUCUUUCUACUUUUUCUCCCAGCAGGCGUAACACUUUAGCUCCUUCAUUCCCUACCCUUUGAAUCUCGUUCUUAAAAACCUGCCUUAAUUCAGAUGAUGCCUGCAAAUGAA